CGAUGGUACGCAUGCCUGAUGGGCUAUAGAAUUGUUAGAAGUGGAUGUCGAUAUAACUGCUGAUCCUAUUGAACUUAGUUCGUUGGCAUUUUGGUUACUAUGAUUUGUUCCCGCCUUGGCUAACACUGUCAGUGUGCUGCUUCCGUUGUUGACGUUGCUAUUGGUGGUCGUGGUGCUGGUGGUUAGGAUUCGGGCAUUUGCAGGCAAAGUUAUCUUAUUACACGCAUUGAUGCUUAUAAACGAGACGGGACGUAGUGUUGUGGCUCCUCCACUUCCUCCUGUGGUCACAUGCUGUAGCUGUUGUUGCUGCUGCUGCUGCUGAUUGUAGGUAUUGACGUCGGUUAUUAGCAACAUUGUCGGUGGUGGUUGUUGUGGCGGUUGUGGUGCCUGCUUUAACUCUGGCUUUGCCUCUUCACCGCUACCAUCAUCGGCAUUUGUAUCAUUAUCGAGAUCUUCAUCUUCGUCGUGCAAGGUGUCUAAGACGAGGGCAUCAUACAGUAUAGCUGCUCUCCCUGUGGCUUUGUUGCCAUCUUUAAGGGUCAACAAUUUGCGUAUAAUUGGUGUCGAAGCGUUUGAAUUUGAUUUUGGAUUGAAAUUAUUGGAAAAUUUAUUAGGCUUGAAAAAUAGAGGCGGCGGUGUAUUGUUUA
This is a long non-coding RNA of Drosophila willistoni, 647 nucleotides long. RefSeq lists it as uncharacterized. NCBI's taxonomy places the organism in Eukaryota, Metazoa, Arthropoda, Insecta, Diptera, Drosophilidae. The transcript is spliced from 2 exons. The record is from RefSeq and is a predicted model, not a curated record.